GCAGUCGAGCGGAUGAAGGAGCUUGCUCCUGGAUUCAGCGGCGGACGGGUGAGUAAUGCCUAGGAAUCUGCCUGGUAUGCGGACAACGUUUCGAAAGGAACGCUUAUACCGCAUAAGUCCUUUGAUAGAAAUUAAUUGACCUGCAGGCACCCUUUUUUGAACUAUGUUCCAACAAGGAACCCUUGGGCUCUCGAUCGAAAAAGAAACGAACCAAAUGGCAAUAAUGAAUUUAAUUUGCAAAAUUCCGGGAUUCUUCAAAUUUUAAACGCCCCUUGCCAUCGUUGGAAUUCUUGAGACAGGCCGGUUGAUGAUCUUUGAAUUUU
This 323-nucleotide ribosomal RNA is filed under the name Ralstonia solanacearum. RNAcentral's name for it is "partial 16S ribosomal RNA". Lineage: Bacteria; Pseudomonadati; Pseudomonadota; Betaproteobacteria; Burkholderiales; Burkholderiaceae. The record is from RNAcentral.